CUACUGCUGCUACAGAUACAAGUGAAGUUUUACCGGAGCAACAACUGACUCGGGAGACCACGCCAUUUUUAAUAAUUUUCUUCAAAAUGACACCAACCCAGAACAGAAACAGGGAAAUUACAAGGAAUUAGAAAGCGAAGACAGAGUAGAUUACUACUAGGCACAAAGUGUUUGCAGUUUACACAAAAUGCUUAUAUGCAUAAGUAAACAUGUACAGAGAUUUAUUGAGAGUUGAG
Molecule: long non-coding RNA, 236 nt
Filed under: Panax ginseng (ginseng)
Lineage: Eukaryota; Viridiplantae; Streptophyta; Magnoliopsida; Apiales; Araliaceae
Description: long non-coding RNA (PGIN_LNC017866)
Source: RNAcentral